CCCAACUUUGGUUGGCUAACCUAACUACCAUUUAGAUAGAUACAGUCAAGAAAUCAUAUUAUGAAUGACAAUUCCAUCAGUCGAUAAGCACCAGGCCUUUGGGCCUCUAAUGAUUAUCCAACUGAUGGACCUAUUAUCAUCCACUUAAUGGGAGGCUAUAAUCUAGUUAUCACCAUAACUAUUUCAUUUUAAAGACUUAAUAAUUUUUAAAGAUUUAAUUGAUUUAGAGGAGAAGGUCAGAUGAACCAGCUUAUCAUGAUCCUCCCACUGGCUUCACCAAGUUAGCUUAAGGGAGAUCAUUAAAAGGGCUGGUCUAGGAGCACCUAAAUCAGUCACACUGAUUUACCUAGCUGACAUGGGUCAACUCAAAUAAUCAAGUGAUCCGAUCAAAAUAUAAUUUCAC
RNAcentral lists this long non-coding RNA (403 nucleotides) under Elaeis guineensis (African oil palm). RNAcentral describes it as "long non-coding RNA (EGUI_LNC054794)". Lineage: Eukaryota; Viridiplantae; Streptophyta; Magnoliopsida; Arecales; Arecaceae. The record is from RNAcentral.